This 465-nucleotide ribosomal RNA is filed under the name uncultured bacterium. RNAcentral describes it as "partial 16S ribosomal RNA". It matches the Rfam family "Bacterial small subunit ribosomal RNA", at positions 28 to 507 of the family's 1533-position model. The record is from RNAcentral.
GACGAACGCUGGCGGCGUGCUUAACACAUGCAAGUCGAACGGAAAGGCCCUGCUUGCAGGGUGCUCGAGUGGCGAACGGGUGAGUAACACGUGGGUGAUCUGCCCUGCACUUCGGGUUAAGCCUGGGAAACUGGGUCUAAUACCGGAUAGGAGCCAUUUUUAGUGUGAUGGUUGGAAAGUUUUUUCGGUGUAGGAUGAGCUCGCGGCCUAUCAGCUUGUUGGUGGGGUAAUGGCCUACCAAGGCGGCGACGGGUAGCCGGCCUGAGAGGGUGGUCGGCCACAUAGGGACUGAGGGACGGCCCAGACGCCUACGGGUGGCAGCAGGGGGGAAUAUUGCACAAUGGGCGCAAGCCGUAUGCAGCGACGCCGCGUGUGGGAUGACGGCCUUCGGGUGGUAAACUCCUUUCGCGAGGGACGAAGCUUUUUGUGACGGUACCUAGAGAAGAAGCACCGGCUAACUACGUG